RNAcentral lists this ribosomal RNA (490 nucleotides) under uncultured bacterium. RNAcentral describes it as "partial 16S ribosomal RNA". It matches the Rfam family "Bacterial small subunit ribosomal RNA", at positions 30 to 507 of the family's 1533-position model. The record is from RNAcentral.
AGUGAACGCUGGCGGCAGGCCUAACACAUGCAAGUCGAACGGCAGCACAAGAGGGCUUGCUCUCUGGGUGGCGAGUGGCGGACGGGUGAGGAAUGCAUCGGAAUCUGCCCAUUUGUGGGGGAUAACCUCGGGAAACCGGGACUAAUACCGCAUACGACCUACGGGUGAAAGCAGGGGAUCUUCGGACCUUGCGCAGAUGGAUGAGCCGAUGCCGGAUUAGCUAGUUGGAGGGGUAAAGGCCCACCAAGGCGACGAUCCGUAGCUGGUCUGAGAGGAUGAUGAGCGACACUGGGAGUGAGACAGGGCACAGAGUCCGACGGGAGGCAGCAGUGGGGAAUGUUGGACAAUGGGCGCAAGCGUGAGCCAGCGAUGCCGCGUGGGUGAAGAGGGCCUUCGGGUGGUAAGGCACAUUUGGUGGGAAGGAAAGGCAGCCGGUUAAUACCCGGUUGUCAUGACGGGACCGAAAGGAUAAGCACCGGGUAAGUUCGUG